CACUUCCGUUGCCGAGAUGCUUGUCUGCGACGGAUGCCCGAAAGAGACAAACUUUGCUGCCUGGCUCAAGGCAGUUUAAAUGUGAAGAACGUGAGUCUUCUAUGUUGCACACUCCUCCAGCGCUCUCUGCUGCUGAAGUGCAGAGCCUCGUUCCCAUAGACAGCAAAGCCCAACACUCCAAGGAAGAACAUCCGCACUGAGCCGAAGAAGAGAGUGUGGAACUGGCCGAUCACGGAUUCCACGAGCGGGUGAAGGGAUUGCGCUGUAUAUGCAUCACUUGGGGUGCUAGACGGCAUAUAGAUUUGGAGCUCAUCAGCAGCCAUCUUAUCAGACUUAAGGCCCACUCGACAAGAGAGAGCUGGAGUGAAGCUGAGCAAAGCCCCAGGAUUUAUGGACUGCUACACCCAGGGUAUAACUUCCGAUUGCUGGUGGCAGAUCGUGGAGUAAGAUUGCUCUGGACUUCUCAGCUGCUCCUGGAUGAACUAGAUAGAGCUCAGGUGUGUUGGUACUGGUAACCAGUGGUCCUCUGAUUGUCCUGGGAGGAAACUGUAGCAUUGCUGGGAGCAGGGAAAGAUGGAGUCCCUGUUUGUGGCUGCUUAGACAUAGGAAAAGGAUACCACACUAAUUGGGACUUAUGAGGACUAGAAAUGACGGGUUGAUUCUCAAAUGCCUCAUGUUUAUUAUGAUUUUACUUACAUUUUUCAGGUAUUUUGGACAGUCUAUUUUUUUGUACUAUUGACGUCUGCAUGUGAUCCCCAUGGGUCUGCUGGCUUCAGUUACCUCCACAUUGUUUUUUAAAAGGGAAAAUACUUUGCACUAUUGUCUGAAUGUUCGUAUCCCUCCAAUAUUCAUAUGUGGACACUUAAUCAGUAUCAGGUAGUAUAGAUAGGACCUUGAAAUGAUGAGUAGGUCACAAGAGACAAGGCAAUAAUACUCUUAUUAAAGAAGAGUAUCAGUCUCUAAUACCGUAUGAGAAUACAGAGGGAUAAUCUAGUGCAUGAUAUUUUGUUAUCAUAGCAAAGUUGACUAAUAUAUUCAGAGAGGAUUGACAAGGCACAAUUUAAAAGAUGCCCUGAUUCCACAGAGAUAUACCCCCCAAUAUAUUAAUAGAAUAUAACUUAUCAGUGUAUUAAACAAGAGUGCUUUUAUGUAACAAUUAAUGAACCUAGGUUGUAAUAGUACAGACCACACAGAGACCAUACAUUAGGACUCAUUCUUAGUGGCUUGUGUUAUAUACAUUGGGCAUGGUUAUUGUUAUGGUAUUAUUGUACAGAUUAUUUUUUAACUAACCUAAAAUCCUCUGUACUUUGAAUAUUCAGAUUUCACCUCACCCCAAAACUGGCAGCCACUGGCAUCUGCAUCUUUAUUGCCUCUGGUUUUGCCCUUUGAAGAAUGUGCUAUGCUUAGAAUAAUAUGGCUGCAUCCUUCUCAGGUUACCUAUGUUCACCUAGCUAUAUGUAUCUGGAUCUUUUCACAGGUUAGAGCUUAAUUUUUGCAUUGAAUACCAUCCAUAGUUCGGUCUAUCAUAGUUUACUUUUGUCCCAUUGACUUGUAGAAAGACAUCUUGACUGUUUCCAAAAUUUGACAAUAGUAAGUCCUAUGUAUGCAUCCAUGGGCAGGUGUGUGUGUGUGUG
This 1634-nucleotide small RNA is filed under the name Rattus norvegicus (Norway rat). Its description in RNAcentral is "uncharacterized LOC103690921". Lineage: Eukaryota; Metazoa; Chordata; Mammalia; Rodentia; Muridae. The record is from RNAcentral.